RNAcentral lists this ribosomal RNA (76 nucleotides) under Brucella abortus. RNAcentral's name for it is "partial 16S ribosomal RNA". It matches the Rfam family "Bacterial small subunit ribosomal RNA", at positions 1464 to 1533 of the family's 1533-position model. Lineage: Bacteria; Pseudomonadati; Pseudomonadota; Alphaproteobacteria; Hyphomicrobiales; Brucellaceae. The record is from RNAcentral. RNAcentral also lists the same sequence under 6 other names.
AGGGUCAGCGACUGGGGUGAAGUCGUAACAAGGUAGCCGUAGGGGAACCUGCGGCUGGAUCACCUCCUUUCUAAGG